RNAcentral lists this ribosomal RNA (117 nucleotides) under Danio rerio (zebrafish). The record is from RNAcentral. Lineage: Eukaryota; Metazoa; Chordata; Actinopteri; Cypriniformes; Danionidae.
UGCUACAGCCAUAUCACCCUGUAGCCCAAGACUGGUCACUCACUGAAGUUAAGCAUGGCUGAGCCUGGCCAGUACCUGGACGGGAGACCACAUGGCAAAAGUAGGUUUCUGUUUGAA